RNAcentral lists this long non-coding RNA (469 nucleotides) under Homo sapiens (human). RNAcentral describes it as "HSALNT0298445". Lineage: Eukaryota; Metazoa; Chordata; Mammalia; Primates; Hominidae. The record is from RNAcentral.
AGAGGUUUUCAUAAUGAAUGCAGCAUCCCUGGGGAGUGAUCUGAAGCUGGCGAGGCAAUGAGAACACCCUGGCAGGGCAGCUGAGCUGGGUGGAUCCUUGUUCUGUCACCAAGCCUUUAAGUCAUAUGCUGACAUGUUACAGUCCUGCCUGGGACCCUGCCCACAAAUACUUAAGAUACACGACUUUGGGAAUCACCCAACUGAUGGAAAGAACCAGGAAAGGGGUCAGGAUCUGCACCUUGGCAAACUUUGAAGAACACCCAAUUUGAUGAAUGAAAACUCCUCACUUGUGCUCUGGUGGUGUUUUAGGACAAUGGGCCCCUCCUGGAUGCUCCAGUGAAGCCCCAUAUCACCUUUUUCCUUCCUGUUUGCCAUAGCUCCAGGUAAGAGACACUGUAGUCAAAAUGACAAUUUUGAUUUCAAUCUUGAAAUGUGCAGCCUAAAUAUAAAGCUCAUCUAUUUGGUUUGA